RNAcentral lists this unclassified non-coding RNA (210 nucleotides) under Hevea brasiliensis (rubber tree). The record is from RNAcentral. Lineage: Eukaryota; Viridiplantae; Streptophyta; Magnoliopsida; Malpighiales; Euphorbiaceae.
GGAGAUCAAAACCUCUAUAAAUACCACUUAAUUCCAUGUAUUAAGGUUUAGCUUUCAGUUAAUAAAAAUUCCAAGAAGCCAAUGAAUGAAAAGAAGCAAAAAAAUAAAAAUAAAAAUUCCAGCAGAUAUUUCCUCUCACACACUUGUGAGAGAGUGUUCUUUGAGAAGCUUACACUGUGUCAAACUGUCAAAGUGUGCUAGAAGUCCUAG